Molecule: ribosomal RNA, 892 nt
Filed under: uncultured Bacillota bacterium
Lineage: Bacteria; Bacillati; Bacillota
Description: bacterial SSU rRNA
Rfam family: Bacterial small subunit ribosomal RNA
Source: RNAcentral
CAGGAUGAACGCUAGCUACAGGCUUAACACAUGCAAGUCGAGGGGCAGCGGGAUUGAAGCUUGCUUCAAUUGCCGGCGACCGGCGCACGGGUGAGUAACGCGUAUCCAAUCUUCCGUACACUCAGGGAUAGCCUUUCGAAAGAAAGAUUAAUACCUGAUAGUAUCUUAAGCACACAUGUAAUUAAGAUUAAAGAUUUAUCGGUGUACGAUGGGGAUGCGUUCCAUUAGGUAGUAGGCGGGGUAACGGCCCACCUAGCCAACGAUGGAUAGGGGUUCUGAGAGGAAGGUCCCCCACAUUGGAACUGAGACACGGUCCAAACUCCUACGGGAGGCAGCAGUGAGGAAUAUUGGUCAAUGGACGAGAGUCUGAACCAGCCAAGUAGCGUGAAGGAUGAAGGUCCUACGGAUUGUAAACUUCUUUUAUAAGGGAAUAAACCCUCCCACGUGUGGGAGCUUGUAUGUACCUUAUGAAUAAGCAUCGGCUAACUCCGUGCCAGCAGCCGCGGUAAUACGGAGGAUGCGAGCGUUAUCCGGAUUUAUUGGGUUUAAAGGGAGCGCAGACGGGUCGUUAAGUCAGCUGUGAAAGUUUGGGGCUCAACCUUAAAAUUGCAGUUGAUACUGGCGUCCUUGAGUGCGGUUGAGGUGUGCGGAAUUCGUGGUGUAGCGGUGAAAUGCUUAGAUAUCACGAAGAACUCCGAUUGCGAAGGCAGCACACUAAUCCGUAACUGACGUUCAUGCUCGAAAGUGUGGGUAUCAAACAGGAUUAGAUACCCUGGUAGUCCACACGGUAAACGAUGGAUACUCGCUGUUGGCGAUAUACUGUCAGCGGCUUAGCGAAAGCGUUAAGUAUCCCACCUGGGGAGUACGCCGGCAACGGUGCAACUCAAAUGAA